Molecule: ribosomal RNA, 253 nt
Filed under: uncultured bacterium
Lineage: Bacteria
Description: partial 16S ribosomal RNA
Rfam family: Bacterial small subunit ribosomal RNA
Source: RNAcentral
UACGUAGGGGGCAAGCGUUGUCCGGAUUUAUUGGGCGUAAAGCGCGCGCAGGCGGUUUAUUAAGUCUGAUGUGAAAGCCCACGGCUCAACCGUGGAGGGCCAUUGGAAACUGGUAGGCUUGAGUGCAGGAGAGGAGAGCGGAAUUCCCGGUGUAGCGGUGAAAUUCGUAGAUAUCAAGCAGAACACCUGCGGCGAAGGCGGCCUUCUGGACGAUGACUGACGCUGAGACGCGAAAGCGUGGGGAGCAAACAGG